Molecule: ribosomal RNA, 116 nt
Filed under: Escherichia coli 2534-86
Lineage: Bacteria; Pseudomonadati; Pseudomonadota; Gammaproteobacteria; Enterobacterales; Enterobacteriaceae
Source: RNAcentral
UGGCGGCCUUAGCGCGGUGGUCCCACCUGACCCCAUGCCGAACUCAGAAGUGAAACGCCGUAGCGCCGAUGGUAGUGUGGGGUCUACCCCAUGCGAGAGUAGGGAACUGCCAGGCA